This 21-nucleotide non-coding RNA is filed under the name Caenorhabditis elegans. The record is from RNAcentral. Lineage: Eukaryota; Metazoa; Nematoda; Chromadorea; Rhabditida; Rhabditidae.
UCAGCUGAUUUUUAAAAUUUG